This 492-nucleotide ribosomal RNA is filed under the name uncultured bacterium. RNAcentral's name for it is "partial 16S ribosomal RNA". It matches the Rfam family "Bacterial small subunit ribosomal RNA", at positions 29 to 507 of the family's 1533-position model. The record is from RNAcentral.
AGUGAACGCUGGCGGUAGGCCUAACACAUGCAAGUCGAACGGCAGCACAGUAAGAGCUUGCUCUUACGGGUGGCGAGUGGCGGACGGGUGAGGAAUACAUCGGAAUCUACUUUUUCGUGGGGGAUAACGUAGGGAAACUUACGCUAAUACCGCAUACGACCUACGGGUGAAAGCAGGGGAUCUUCGGACCUUGCGCGAUUGAAUGAGCCGAUGUCGGAUUAGCUAGUUGGCGGGGUAAAGGCCCACCAAGGCGACGAUCCGUGGCUGGUCUGAGAGGAUGAUCAGCCACACUGGAACUGAGACACGGUCCAGACUCCUACGGGAGGCAGCAGUGGGGAAUAUUGGGCAAUGGGCGCAAGCCUGAUCCAGCCAGACCGCGUGGGUGAAGAAGGCCUUCGGGUUGUAAAGCCCUUUUGUUGGGAAAGAAAAGCAGCAGGUUAAUACCCCGCUGUUCUGACGGUACCCAAAGAAUAAGCACCGGCUAACUUCGUG